GAUCAGUGGCUCAGGACGAACGCUGGCGGCGUGCCUAACACAUGCAAGUCGAGCGAGGAGAUCCUUCGGGAUGAUCCUAGCGGCGGACGGGUGAGUAACACGUGGGCAACCUGCCUCAUAGAGAGGAAUAGCCUUCCGAAAGGGAGAUUAAUACCUCAUAACAUUGCAGUUUCGCAUGGAACAGCAAUUAAAGGAGCAAUCCGCUAUGAGAUGGGCCCGCGGCGCAUUAGCUAGUUGGUGAGGUAACGGCUCACCAAGGCGACGAUGCGUAGCCGACCUGAGAGGGUGAUCGGCCACAUUGGGACUGAGACACGGCCCAGACUCCUACGGGAGGCAGCAGUGGGGAAUAUUGCACAAUGGGGGAAACCCUGAUGCAGCCAACGCCGCGUGAGUGAUGACGGCCUUCGGGUUGUAAAGCUCUGUCUUCAGGGACGAUAAUGACGGUACCUGAGGAGGAAGCCACGGCUAACUACGUGCCAGCAGCUGC
Molecule: ribosomal RNA, 487 nt
Filed under: uncultured bacterium
Lineage: Bacteria
Description: bacterial SSU rRNA
Rfam family: Bacterial small subunit ribosomal RNA
Source: RNAcentral